GAUGAACGCUGGCGGCGUGCCUAAUACAUGCAAGUCGAGCGAACAGACGAGGAGCUUGCUCCUCUGACGUUAGCGGCGGACGGGUGAGUAACACGUGGAUAACCUACUUAUAAGACUGGGAUAACUUCGGGAAACCGGAGCUAAUACCGGAUAAUAUAUUGAACCGCAUGGUUCAAUAGUGAAAGACGGUUUUGCUGUCACUUAUAGAUGGAUCCGCGCCGCAUUAGCUAGUUGGUAAGGUAACGGCUUACCAAGGCAACGAUGCGUAACCGACCUGAGAGGGUGAUCGGCCACACUGGAACUGAGACACGGUCCAGACUCCUACGGGAGGCAGCAGUAGGGAAUCUUCCGCAAUGGGCGAAAGCCUGACGGAGCAACGCCGCGUGAGUGAUGAAGGUCUUCGGAUCGUAAAACUCUGUUAUUAGGGAAGAACAAAUGUGUAAGUAACUAUGCACGUCUUGACGGUACCUAAUCAGAAAGCCACGGCUAACUACGUG
Molecule: ribosomal RNA, 497 nt
Filed under: uncultured bacterium
Lineage: Bacteria
Description: partial 16S ribosomal RNA
Rfam family: Bacterial small subunit ribosomal RNA
Source: RNAcentral